RNAcentral lists this ribosomal RNA (484 nucleotides) under uncultured bacterium. Its description in RNAcentral is "partial 16S ribosomal RNA". It matches the Rfam family "Bacterial small subunit ribosomal RNA", at positions 30 to 507 of the family's 1533-position model. The record is from RNAcentral.
AUUGAACGCUGGCGGCAGGCCUAACACAUGCAAGUCGAGCGGAUGAAGGGAGCUUGCUCCUGGAUUCAGCGGCCGACGGGUGAGUAAUGCCUAGGAAUCUGCCUGGUAGUGGGGGAUAACGUCCGGAAACGGGCGCUAAUACCGCAUACGUCCUGAGGAAGAACGUGUGGGAUCUUCGGACCUCACGCCAUCAGAUGAGCCUAGGUCGGAUUAGCUAGUUGGCGGGGUAAAGGCCUACCAAGGCGACGAUCCGUAACUGGUCUGAGAGGAUGAUCAGUCACACUGGAACUGAGACACGGUCCAGACUCCUACGGGAGGCAGCAGUGGGGAAUAUUGGACAAUGGGCGAAAGCCUGAUCCAGCCAUGCCGCGUGGGUGAAGAAGGUCUUCGGAUUGUAAAGCACUUUAAGUUGGGAGGAAGGGCAGUAAGUUAAUACCUUGCUGUUUUGACGUUACCAAAAGAAUAAGCACCGGCUAACUUCGUG